This 72-nucleotide transfer RNA is filed under the name Nitrososphaerota archaeon. RNAcentral's name for it is "Thaumarchaeota archaeon tRNA-His". It matches the Rfam family "tRNA". From Rfam's summary of the family: Transfer RNA (tRNA) molecules are approximately 80 nucleotides in length. Their secondary structure includes four short double-helical elements and three loops (D, anti-codon, and T loops). The record is from RNAcentral. Lineage: Archaea; Thermoproteati; Nitrososphaerota.
GCCCCCGCCGUAUAGUGGUUAGUAUAGGGGAUUGUGGAUCCCCGGAUAGGGGUUCGAUCCCCCUCGGGGGCC